RNAcentral lists this transfer RNA (67 nucleotides) under Heterocephalus glaber (naked mole-rat). It matches the Rfam family "tRNA". Rfam says of the family: Transfer RNA (tRNA) molecules are approximately 80 nucleotides in length. Their secondary structure includes four short double-helical elements and three loops (D, anti-codon, and T loops). Lineage: Eukaryota; Metazoa; Chordata; Mammalia; Rodentia; Bathyergidae. The record is from Rfam by way of RNAcentral.
GGGGCUGUAGCUCAGUGGUAGAGCACUUGCCUAGCAUGCAAAUGCCUGGACUCCAUGCCCAGCACUG